UCUCAGUAACGUAGCUAACGCGUGAAGUUGACCGCCUGGGGAGUACGUCCGCAAGGUUGAAACUCAAAGGAAUUGACGGGGACCCGCACAAGCGGUGGAUGAUGUGGUUUAAUUCGAUGCUACGCGAAAAACCUUACCUACCCUUGACAUGCCUGGAAUCCUGCAGAGAUGUGGGAGUGCUCGAAAGAGAACCAGGACACAGGUGCUGCAUGGCCGUCGUCAGCUCGUGUCGUGAGAUGUUGGGUUAAGUCCCGCAACGAGCGCAACCCUUAUUCUAUGUUGCCAGCACGUAAUGGUGGGGACUCGUAGGAGACUGCCGGGGUCAACUCGGAGGAAGGUGGGGACGACGUCAAGUCAUCAUGCCCCUUAUGUCUAGGGCUGCAAACACGCUACAAUGGCCGGUACAGAGGGCUGCGAAACCGCGAGGUUUAGCGAAUCCCAUAAAGCCGGUCUCAGUUCGGAUUGAAGGCUGCAACUCGCCUUCAUGAAGCUGGAGUUGCUAGUAAUCCCGGAUCAGCACGCCGGGGUGAAUACGUUCCCGGGCCUUGUACACACCGCCCGUCACACCA
This 569-nucleotide ribosomal RNA is filed under the name uncultured beta proteobacterium. RNAcentral's name for it is "bacterial SSU rRNA". It matches the Rfam family "Bacterial small subunit ribosomal RNA", at positions 838 to 1404 of the family's 1533-position model. Lineage: Bacteria; Pseudomonadati; Pseudomonadota; Betaproteobacteria. The record is from RNAcentral.